RNAcentral lists this ribosomal RNA (464 nucleotides) under uncultured bacterium. RNAcentral describes it as "partial 16S ribosomal RNA". It matches the Rfam family "Bacterial small subunit ribosomal RNA", at positions 338 to 795 of the family's 1533-position model. The record is from RNAcentral.
CCUACGGGAGGCUGCAGUGGGGAAUCUUCCGCAAUGGGCGAAAGCCUGACGGAGCAACGCCGCGUGAUCGAAUGAAGGCCUUCGGGUUGUAAAGAUCUGUUGACAGGGACGAAUAAGCAAUGCGAAUAGUUUUGUGUAUGACGGUACCUGUUUAGAAAGCUCCGGCUAACUACGGGCCAGCAGCCGCGUUAAUACGUAGGGAGCAAGCGUUGUACGGAAUUGCUGGGCGUAAAGGGCGCGUAGGUGGGCGCUUAAGUCAGGUGUGAAAACCCCGGGCUCAACCUGGAGACUGCACUUCGAACUGGGUGUCUUGAGGGCAGGAGAGGAAAGUGGAAUUCCUAGUGUAGCGGUGAAAUGCGUAGAUAUUAGGAGGAACACCAGUGGCGAAGGCGACUUUCUGGACUGUACCUGACGCUGAGGCGCGAAAGCGUGGGUAGCAAACAGGAUUAGAUACCCCAGUAGUC